AUUGAACGCUGGCGGCAUGCCUAACACAUGCAAGUCGAACGAUGAUUUUCAGCUUGCUGAAAUGAUUAGUGGCGGACGGGUGAGUAAUGUAUAGGGAUCUGCCUGUUAGUGGGGGACAACAGCCGGAAACGGCUGCUAAUACCGCAUACGCUCUACGGAGGAAAGUGGGGGACCCUCGGGCCUCACGCUAACAGAUGAACCUAUAUUGGAUUAGCUAGUUGGUAGGGUAAAGGCCUACCAAGGCGACGAUCCAUAGCUGGUUGAGAGAAUGAUCAGCCACACUGGGACUGAGACACGGCCCAG
Molecule: ribosomal RNA, 303 nt
Filed under: uncultured bacterium
Lineage: Bacteria
Description: bacterial SSU rRNA
Rfam family: Bacterial small subunit ribosomal RNA
Source: RNAcentral